UGGGGAAUUUUGGACAAUGGGGGCAACCCUGAUCCAGCCAUGCCGCGUGUGUGAAGAAGGCCUUCGGGUUGUAAAGCACUUUCGGCCGGAACGAAAUCGCGCCCGUGAAUAACGUGCGUGUAUGACGGUACCGGAAGAAGAAGCACCGGCUAACUACGUGCCAGCAGCCGCGGUAAUACGUAGGGUGCGAGCGUUAAUCGGAAUUACUGGGCGUAAAGCGUGCGCAGGCGGUUUCGCAAGUCAGACGUGAAAUCCCCGAGCUUAACUUGGGAAUGGCGUUUGAAACUACGAGACUGGAGUGUGGCAGAGGGAGGUAGAAUUCCACGUGUAGCAGUGAAAUGCGUAGAUAUGUGGAGGAAUACCGAUGGCGAAGGCAGCCUCCUGGGCCAACACUGACGCU
Molecule: ribosomal RNA, 400 nt
Filed under: uncultured bacterium
Lineage: Bacteria
Description: bacterial SSU rRNA
Rfam family: Bacterial small subunit ribosomal RNA
Source: RNAcentral